Molecule: ribosomal RNA, 478 nt
Filed under: uncultured bacterium
Lineage: Bacteria
Description: bacterial SSU rRNA
Rfam family: Bacterial small subunit ribosomal RNA
Source: RNAcentral
GCUAGGACGAACGCUGGCGGCACGCCUAACACAUGCAAGUCGAACGAAGUAAGAAGCUUGCUCUUGCUUAGUGGCGGACGGGUGAGUAACACGUGAGCAACCUGCCUUAAAGAGGGGGACAACAGUUGGAAACGACUGCUAAUACCGCAUAAUGUGCGCUGGAAGCAUUUCCUAUGCACCAAAGGAGCAAUCCGCUUUAAGAUGGGCUCGCGCCUGAUUAGAUAGUUGGUGAGGUAACGGCCCACCAAGUCUGCGAUCAGUAGCCGGACUGAGAGGUUGAACGGCCACAUUGGGACUGAGACACGGCCCAGACUCCUACGGGAGGCAGCAGUGGGGGAUAUUGGUCAAUGGGGGGAAACCCUGAACCAGCGAUGCCGCGUGAGGGAAGAAGGUUUUCGGAUUGUAAACCUCUGUCAUCGGGGAAGAUAAUGACGGUACCCGAGAAGGAAGCCACGGCUAACUACGUGCCAGCAGCCGC